This is a long non-coding RNA of Betta splendens (Siamese fighting fish), 376 nucleotides long. RefSeq lists it as uncharacterized. The record is from RefSeq and is a predicted model, not a curated record. Lineage: Eukaryota; Metazoa; Chordata; Actinopteri; Anabantiformes; Osphronemidae. The transcript is spliced from 2 exons.
CAUUUCAUGACAGGGAUUUGCUUGUUCUUUCAUGGCUCAUCUUCUCCCAUAACCUGUUUUCUAACCGUGUGACUGUCAUUUGUUCUCUGUUUCAGCAAGAGGACCCUUCUCUCUCCCACCGCAUGCAUAGUAUCCGGAGCAUAAACCAGGACCCUGCUGGACUUCAUGAUGACCCUGUCCAGCCUCUCAGUGAUGCUGCUGCAUUGUCAAAACAUCAAAGAAUAGAUGACUCCAUUCCUGGACCGGGACGUUUCCAACCUGUUCUCCUCUUCCAACCCCCCACCUCUCCACUCACCACAACUGGCCAUGGCAGAUGACUAUUCAACAGGAGUCUUGUUCUGAUUGCGGUCCCUUCCAUUAAACAGCUACAACUGCA